Molecule: ribosomal RNA, 459 nt
Filed under: uncultured bacterium
Lineage: Bacteria
Description: bacterial SSU rRNA
Rfam family: Bacterial small subunit ribosomal RNA
Source: RNAcentral
AACGAACGCUGGCGGCAUGCCUAACACAUGCAAGUCGAACGCCCUCUUCGGAGGGAGUGGCGCACGGGUGCGUAACGCGUGGGAACCUGCCCUUAGGUUCGGAAUAACUCAGAGAAAUUUGAGCUAAUACCGGAUAAUGUCUUCGGACCAAAGAUUUAUCGCCUUUGGAUGGGCCCGCGUUGGAUUAGCUAGUUGGUGGGGUAAAGGCCUACCAAGGCGACGAUCCAUAGCUGGUCUGAGAGGAUGAUCAGCCACACUGGGACUGAGACACGGCCCAGACUCCUACGGGAGGCAGCAGUGGGGAAUAUUGGACAAUGGGCGAAAGCCUGAUCCAGCAAUGCCGCGUGAGUGAUGAAGGCCUUAGGGUUGUAAAGCUCUUUACUCGGGACGAUAAUGACGGUACCGAGAGAAUAAGCCCCGGCUAACUCCGUGCCAGCAGCCGCGGUAAAGUGACUACUG